Molecule: unclassified non-coding RNA, 201 nt
Filed under: Hevea brasiliensis (rubber tree)
Lineage: Eukaryota; Viridiplantae; Streptophyta; Magnoliopsida; Malpighiales; Euphorbiaceae
Source: RNAcentral
UUCUACUAGUCCAGUGCCAUCCCAAACUACUCAGUAUGCAGCUGGAGCAGGUUCAGUUUUAUGGUCAUACACAACUAUCUGCUUCAGCACCUGCCUACGCGGGGCCAUAUGUGUCUCUUACUGCUUCUCUUGCUCCUUCGAACAGCAUCCAAAAUGAAUUCUGGUGCUAGAUCACACACUUCAUCAGUCUCAUAUUUCUUG